RNAcentral lists this ribosomal RNA (451 nucleotides) under uncultured bacterium. RNAcentral describes it as "bacterial SSU rRNA". It matches the Rfam family "Bacterial small subunit ribosomal RNA", at positions 8 to 458 of the family's 1533-position model. The record is from RNAcentral.
AGAGUUUGAUCCUGGCUCAGAUUGAACGCUGGCGGCAUGCCUUACACAUGCAAGUCGAACGGCAGCACGGGAGCAAUCCUGGUGGCGAGUGGCGAACGGGUGAGUAAUAUAUCGGAACGUGCCCAGUCGUGGGGGAUAACGCAGCGAAAGCUGUGCUAAUACCGCAUACGAUCUAAGGAUGAAAGCGGGGGACUCGCAAGGGCCUCGCGCGAUUGGAGCGGCUGAUAUCAGAUUAGGUUGUUGGUGAGGUAAAAGCUCACCAAGCCGACGAUCUGUAGCUGGUUUGAGAGAACGACCAGCCACACUGGGACUGAGACACGGCCCAGACUCCUACGGGAGGCAGCAGUGGGGAAUUUUGGACAAUGGGCGAAAGCCUGAUCCAGCAAUGCCGCGUGCAGGAAGAAGGCCUUCGGGUUGUAAACAUGGUUUUGUACGGAACGAAAAGGUCUGC